CAGGGUGUAGCUCAGUUUGGUAGAGCGCGUGGUUUGGGUCCACGAGGCCGCAGGUUCAAAUCCUGUCACCCUGA
This 74-nucleotide transfer RNA is filed under the name Phycisphaeraceae bacterium. RNAcentral describes it as "tRNA-Pro". It matches the Rfam family "tRNA". From Rfam's summary of the family: Transfer RNA (tRNA) molecules are approximately 80 nucleotides in length. Their secondary structure includes four short double-helical elements and three loops (D, anti-codon, and T loops). Further hydrogen bonds mediate the characteristic L-shaped molecular structure. tRNAs have two regions of fundamental functional importance: the anti-codon, which is responsible for specific mRNA codon recognition, and the 3' end, to which the tRNAs corresponding amino acid is attached (by aminoacyl-tRNA synthetases). tRNAs cope with the degeneracy of the genetic code in two manners: having more than one tRNA (with a specific anti-codon) for a particular amino acid; and 'wobble' base-pairing, i.e. permitting non-standard base-pairing at the 3rd anti-codon position. The record is from RNAcentral. Lineage: Bacteria; Pseudomonadati; Planctomycetota; Phycisphaerae; Phycisphaerales; Phycisphaeraceae. RNAcentral also lists the same sequence under 1 other name.